UGGUGGAGCGAUUUGUCUGCUUAACUGCGAUAACGAACGAGACUCUGGCCUACUAACUAGAAGACAGUUCCUCGAGACUGUCAUACUUCUUAGAGGGAUAAGGGGAUUGAAGCCCCAAGAGAUUGAGCAAUAACA
This 135-nucleotide ribosomal RNA is filed under the name uncultured eukaryote. RNAcentral describes it as "partial 18S ribosomal RNA". It matches the Rfam family "Eukaryotic small subunit ribosomal RNA", at positions 1299 to 1458 of the family's 1831-position model. The record is from RNAcentral.